CUUCCUUCCCUCCUUCCCUCCUUCCUUUCUUCCUUCCGAGAAAAUCGAAAAUCUUCUCUCGAGCAACAGUGAAUGAAAUCGCACGGAUCGAGCGAGCUCGCGAUACUAAAAAAGAAGAAGAAGAAGAGAUACCGAAUUGUUGCACAGAGGAGAUCGUGCAACGUUGUUAUUCAAGAAUAUCGAUGUCUCCUUUGACCCUGGAUGGAACUGAGACCGCAAAACCGGUGAUGAAACAAAUAAUCGACGCUCGGGAAGAAGAUCGAAUUGCUCGAUGAUCCAAGCUUUUGCGCGCUAUUAUCGAUUAUUAUCCAGUAAGCCGCGAUUAAAUCCACUUAAAUCCGGACGAAUCUGGAAAAAUUCCAACGAACCGUAUCCUCCGAGUUAAUCCAAUCAACGGUUUGUGUCAAGUUUGAUAACGGUUUGAUAAUUUAAUAAGCUUUCGCCCGCUUUCGUCGUCGCCUAUCAACUUUCGAUUAAUUUAUCCCCGUACGUUGAUCCAAGAGAUUACAUCGCUGUAUCGAUUAUCCAUAAGUCGCUCCGUUAAAUCCAAACGAAUUUUCAGUUUCCAACGAACAAACCGCAUCCUCCAACUUCGAUCCAACUUGUGUGUCCAGUUUGAUUAUUAAUUACAAAUCAAGUUACGAUUUAAUAAAGUUUCUCUCGCUUUCGUCCACCACGAACCGAGUCGAGUCGUCGUUGCGUUGUAGAUCCACUUUCGAUUAAUUAUUUUAUCCUCCUCUCUCUCUCUCUUUUUGUUUUCUUCCUGCCGUAGAAAUAAAUGAACGAACGAGAGAUAUGAACGACGGAGUUUUUGCCACGGGAGACUCGCUUGAGACGAGAACAACACGAGACUGGUAUAAAGUGAGUCAAGUGAGCGGCGAACCGAUCUUCCGGUAAGUUUGCACGAAGGAGGUGGUGGAGCCGGUGCUAUUAACCGUCUACCGGAGGAGGCUGGUCUAGCUCGGGUUUUCACGGUGUUCGGUGAAAGUGGUUAAGGUUUUCGUUCGACGUGCGAGCGAGCAUCGCGUUUGUUCCACGGAGGAAAACGUUCUCUCGUCUCUUCUUUCUCGCCCAAUUACAGUCGAUUUCGAUCUUUGAACGAGUUUCGACUUUCUAUGGAGCAUAUGUGUGCGCGCGUGUCGUUCGAGUCAAAAGCAUCUGGAUGAAAGAUUUCGCGAGUUAAGAAGAAGUUACGAGUGUUUCUUUUUUCUUUCUAUUCGCAGGAAGAAAUUAUUUUGCGCGUCUGAUCAAAAUCUUGGAGUGAAGAAGUUACCAGCUCUUAAAUGAGAUUCGAUCGCGUCCAGAUCGAUUUUCGGCAUCGCUGUUUCGAUAUUGUAGACAUCGAAGCCGCCUUCCAUGGAAAAAAAAAAUCACAGAUUUGCAACACGAUGAACAUUGCACGAUGAAUAUUUGCGGUUUAUACUCGUGUACACACCGUGAAAUUUGAAGAGGGACGAGCAUGAGAAUACUCGGGAGGAAGAAGCGUAAAUGAGAA
This 1495-nucleotide long non-coding RNA is filed under the name Apis mellifera (honey bee). RNAcentral's name for it is "uncharacterized LOC102655568, transcript variant X1". The record is from RNAcentral. Lineage: Eukaryota; Metazoa; Arthropoda; Insecta; Hymenoptera; Apidae.